RNAcentral lists this unclassified non-coding RNA (79 nucleotides) under Pseudomonas corrugata. The record is from RNAcentral. Lineage: Bacteria; Pseudomonadati; Pseudomonadota; Gammaproteobacteria; Pseudomonadales; Pseudomonadaceae.
AUUUGUGGCGAGGGGAUUUAUCCCCGCUUCUUUGGGGCUGCUGCGCAGCCCAGCGGGGAUAAAUCCCCUCGCCACAAGG